AGUCGAGCGCGCCUUUCGGGGUGAGCGGCGGACGGGUUAGUAACGCGUGGGAAUAUACCCUUUGGUACGGAAUAGCCUCUGGAAACGGAGAGUAAUACCGUAUGAGCCCUUCGGGGGAAAGAUUUAUCGCCAAAGGAUUAGCCCGCGUUAGAUUAGGUAGUUGGUGGGGUAAUGGCCUACCAAGCCUACGAUCUAUAGCUGGUUUUAGAGGAUGAUCAGCAACACUGGGACUGAGACACGGCCCAGACUCCUACGGGAGGCAGCAGUGGGGAAUCUUGGACAAUGGGGGCAACCCUGAUCCAGCCAUGCCGCGUGAGUGAUGAAGGCCUUAGGGUCGUAAAGCUCUUUCGCCAGGGAUGAUAAUGACAGUACCUGGUAAAGAAACCCCGGCUAACUCCGUGCCAGCAGCCGCGGUAAUACGGAGGGGGUUAGCGUUGUUCGGAAUUACUGGGCGUAAAGCGCACGUAGGCGGACUGGAAAGUUGGGGGUGAAAUCCCAGGGCUCAACCCUGGAACUGCCUCCAAAACUAUCAGUCUAGAGUUCGAGAGAGGUGAGUGGAAUUCCGAGUGUAGAGGUGAAAUUCGUAGAUAUUCGGAGGAACACCAGUGGCGAAGGCGGCUCACUGGCUCGAUACUGACGCUGAGGUGCGAAAGUGUGGGGAGCAAACAGGAUUAGAUACCCUGGUAGUCCACACCGUAAACGAUGAAUGCCAGUCGUCGGGUAGCAUGCUAUUCGGUGACACACCUAACGGAUUA
Molecule: ribosomal RNA, 755 nt
Filed under: Ruegeria sp. AU503_Ted3_MB20NH4
Lineage: Bacteria; Pseudomonadati; Pseudomonadota; Alphaproteobacteria; Rhodobacterales; Roseobacteraceae
Also listed under: 1 other name
Description: bacterial SSU rRNA
Rfam family: Bacterial small subunit ribosomal RNA
Source: RNAcentral